Linepithema humile (Argentine ant) is the source of this 974-nucleotide non-coding RNA. The record is from RefSeq and is a predicted model, not a curated record. Lineage: Eukaryota; Metazoa; Arthropoda; Insecta; Hymenoptera; Formicidae.
GCCGACCACAGUAACAAACGUCUCUUCAACUCAUAAUUUACUUGGGCAUGUACGAUCAGUCAAGGAAUUUAGCAAUAUCAAACUCGAUUUCUUCUUACGAAAAGAAAUUUAUUGGAACUUGAUCAGUACGUAUAUAUAUAAUAAUUUUUCAUAAUAAAAUUUUCGGAGUAGAUAUUAUAUUCAUCAAACGUAACUGCGAGAAAUUCAGUCAAGACAACACACGAGAAAAUGGGCUUCAAACUAAAUUUGUUAUUCAUAUUUGAUGUCUUCAGCCUGUUGAGUAUGUGGUACUUAUGUCCUUUAAUAGCAGAUUCGUCUCUUCAUUUUCCUCUGUGGCCUAAAAAUUGUGUUCUUGUGUAUGACCGUGGUCCUUGCUUUUCGGAGGACAUGAGAAUCAAUGGAACUUUUCAGUGGAGAUAUUGGUUUGAUUCGUAUGAGACGUUAGCUUGUAAGCGUUUUGAGUACGGGGGUUGCGGAGGAAAUGGAAAUAAUUAUGUAACUUUACAAGAAUGCUAUGAUAAAUGCUAUGAUAUCUUAGCUUAAACGUCAGUAUCAAAAUGUCUUGAGAGAAAGACAAAAUUGCAACAUUCGAAGAGGAAAUUACAACCGUCGAAUAGGAAUUACGGAUCUUUAAUACACAAAAAUUUUUUUAUAAUGUCUCAUAUAUUGAUAUAUAUUUGUAAUAGUUUGACAUUGAGUUUCAAUGGAAGUACUAAAUGAAAGAUUUUGUGAAGUCUUUAUAAAAUACUUAUAAAAGUGUUUUAUUUUUACAAUUAUUGACUGAAAAUAAAAUAAAAUGUACGGAUAUGUAUAUAAAAUAUGUAGGAAUAUAUAUGUAAAUUUGCGUCGUUUAUAAAGAAUAUUUCGCAAUAGAAGAAAUUUGUUUACGUUAGAUGUGAUUUAUUUAUUGCAUACUUAAAAUGACGCCUAAUGUACAAAUCUCAAUAAAUUUUAAUAAAACUUUUUAAAAUGUG